GGGUGAGUAAUGCAUCGGAAUGUACCGUGUAAUGGGGGAUAGCUCGGCGAAAGCCGGAUUAAUACCGCAUACGCCCUGAGGGGGAAAGCGGGGGAUCGAAAGACCUCGCGUUAUACGAGCAGCCGAUGUCUGAUUAGCUAGUUGGUGAGGUAAGAGCUCACCAAGGCGACGAUCAGUAGCGGGUCUGAGAGGAUGAUCCGCCACACUGGGACUGAGACACGGCCCAGACUCCUACGGGAGGCAGCAGUGGGGAAUUUUGGACAAUGGGCGCAAGCCUGAUCCAGCCAUGCCGCGUGUCUGAAGAAGGCCUUCGGGUUGUAAAGGACUUUUGUUCGGGAGGAAAUCCCGCUGGUUAAUACCUGGCGGGGAUGACAGUACCGGAAGAAUAAGCACCGGCUAACUACGUGCCAGCAGCCGCGGUAAUACGUAGGGUGCAAGCGUUAAUCGGAAUUACUGGGCGUAAAGCGUGCGCAGGCGGUUGUGCAAGUCUGAUGUGAAAGCCCCGGGCUCAACCUGGGAACGGCAUUGGAGACUGCACGACUAGAGUGCGUCAGAGGGGGGUAGAAUUCCGCGUGUAGCAGUGAAAUGCGUAGAGAUGCGGAGGAAUACCGAUGGCGAA
RNAcentral lists this ribosomal RNA (619 nucleotides) under Chromobacterium amazonense. Its description in RNAcentral is "bacterial SSU rRNA". It matches the Rfam family "Bacterial small subunit ribosomal RNA", at positions 104 to 719 of the family's 1533-position model. The record is from RNAcentral. Lineage: Bacteria; Pseudomonadati; Pseudomonadota; Betaproteobacteria; Neisseriales; Chromobacteriaceae.